AAAAAGGGCAUCUGCCAUGUUUGGCAUAGUUGUGGAAGGGACACUCUGACACAAUUACGGAAUCGCUAUCAAGAGAUUUCGGAUGCAGAAUUUUUGGUACUCGGGGCUGCUAAUGAUCGUUUGUCUUGGCGCCCUA
Small nuclear RNA from Myxocyprinus asiaticus (Chinese sucker), 136 nucleotides. RefSeq annotates it as U11 spliceosomal RNA. Lineage: Eukaryota; Metazoa; Chordata; Actinopteri; Cypriniformes; Catostomidae. The transcript has a single exon. The record is from RefSeq and is a predicted model, not a curated record.